CAGCCGCCGCGUAAUACGAAGGGUGCAAGCGUUAAUCGGAAUUACUGGGCGUAAAGCGUGCGUAGGCGGUGAGUUAAGUCUGCUGUGAAAUCCCCGGGCUCAACCUGGGAAUGGCAGUGGAUACUGGCUCGCUAGAGUGUGUCAGAGGAUGGUGGAAUUCCCGGUGUAGCGGUGAAAUGCGUAGAGAUCGGGAGGAACAUCAGUGGCGAAGGCGGCCAUCUGGGACAACACUGACGCUGAGGCACGAAAGCGUGGGGAGCAAACAGGAUUAGAUACCCCGGUAGUCCCUGUCUCUUAUACA
This 301-nucleotide ribosomal RNA is filed under the name uncultured bacterium. RNAcentral's name for it is "partial 16S ribosomal RNA". It matches the Rfam family "Bacterial small subunit ribosomal RNA", at positions 509 to 808 of the family's 1533-position model. The record is from RNAcentral.